RNAcentral lists this ribosomal RNA (243 nucleotides) under uncultured bacterium. RNAcentral describes it as "partial 16S ribosomal RNA". It matches the Rfam family "Bacterial small subunit ribosomal RNA", at positions 534 to 776 of the family's 1533-position model. The record is from RNAcentral.
GCAAGCGUUGUUCGGAAUUACUGGGCGUAAAGGGCUCGUAGGCGGCCAACUAAGUCAGACGUGAAAUCCCCAGGCUCAACCUGGGAACUGCGUCUGAUACUGGAUGGCUUGAAUUCGGGAGAGGGAUGCAGAAUUCCAGGUGUAGCGGUGAAAUGCGUAGAUAUCUGGAGGAAUACCGGUGGCGAAGGCGGCAUCCUGGACCGACAUUGACGCUGAUGAACGAAAGCCAGGGGAGCAAACGGG